UCGCUUUUUUUAUCAAAAACAUCGCCUCGUGCAAAAACCAAUAUAUAGGAGGUCUUGCCUGCCCAGUGACUAGUUAAACGGCCGCGUUAUUUUGGCCGUGCGAAGGUAGCGCAAUCAUUUGUUUUUUAAAUGAAGACCGGUAUGAAUGGUGGAAGGAGGGUUUAACUGUCUCCCCCUUCAAGUCAAUGAAAUUGAUCUGCCCGUGCAGAAGGGGACAUAAAAAUGCAAGACGAGAAGACCCUUUGGAGCUUAAGAUACAAGAUCAAUUAUGUCAAGAACCAAAAAGUUAAACUAAAUAGCAACUGAUCCUUAUCUUUGGUUGGGGCGACCGGGGGAGAAAGAAAGUUCCCUUCUGACUGGGGAAUCCCUAGAACCAAGAAAGACAUUUUUAAGUCACAGAAUAUGUGACCAUAAGAUCCGGCCCCCCGACGACCAACGGACCGAAGUUACCCUAGGGAUAGCGAGCCGCUAUCUUUUUUUUUUCUUUAGU
RNAcentral lists this ribosomal RNA (490 nucleotides) under Clarias gariepinus (North African catfish). Its description in RNAcentral is "partial 16S ribosomal RNA". It matches the Rfam family "Bacterial large subunit ribosomal RNA", at positions 1795 to 2506 of the family's 2925-position model. The record is from RNAcentral. Lineage: Eukaryota; Metazoa; Chordata; Actinopteri; Siluriformes; Clariidae.